RNAcentral lists this ribosomal RNA (402 nucleotides) under Triticum aestivum (bread wheat). Its description in RNAcentral is "partial small subunit ribosomal RNA". The record is from RNAcentral. Lineage: Eukaryota; Viridiplantae; Streptophyta; Magnoliopsida; Poales; Poaceae.
AUGUACGAGCGCCUCCCAUUCUAUUGCUUCUCUUGCGGUAUUUUGGGGCACUCGUCAUUGUUGUGCCCCUCGCCAGGCGUCCGAGAUGAGAAUGGUGAUCUUCCUUACACUGCGAAGAAAUUGUGUGGUGCUGACGACCAGUUCAAGCACUCUGGCGGCUCAAAGUCAAACCAUACCUCAUCGUCUUCGGGUGGUAAUCAGAGAAACUCGACAUCAAGGGCUUUAACUACUAUUGCUAAAUCUGUUGGUUCGGAUGGCCGAACGAGGAAAAACGAUGCUCAAUAUUAUGAGUGUGAUGGGGUUGCAGAGGAUUUAUCUCCGCUCUUUCAUGGUCGUACCAACCGGAGUCGAGGCAGAUCCUCUGGAGGCCGCGGUCGUGGAAGGAAUGAGGGAGCCGGAUAA